This 434-nucleotide unclassified non-coding RNA is filed under the name Hevea brasiliensis (rubber tree). The record is from RNAcentral. Lineage: Eukaryota; Viridiplantae; Streptophyta; Magnoliopsida; Malpighiales; Euphorbiaceae.
AAGAGUUAUCUACAAAUCAUUUUGGAGAUGGUGCCGGCAACAGAACAAAGUUCCAGUGGAAUUCACACACAGCAAACUGCAAGAUUGCAGGAACUCGUUGAAUUUAUACAAUAUCAGGGAAACAGCUCAGCUUCAGAAUCCUCACCAAUUAGGGAGGCGGCUCCUAUAGAGGGCAUAAUUGAAGAUAUGCAAUCUAGAAUCAAGAGGCUGGAAAGAUGGCAGACCAUCAAUACGGUGUUAUGGACUUUUCUGAUGUCUGCCCUUGUUGGUUAUUCGCUUUACCAAAGAAAACGCCAAUAAACAAUCUUUUGAGUAUUCUGCAAGGUCUUCAACAAUGUAAGCAAGGAAAGGUCGCAUUGCGCUGUAACAAGAUGGGCUUUAAACCUGGCUCCAACAGGUUCACCGGGGUAAUCAUCGGCAAUGUUGAGUCUAAC